RNAcentral lists this ribosomal RNA (301 nucleotides) under uncultured bacterium. Its description in RNAcentral is "partial 16S ribosomal RNA". It matches the Rfam family "Bacterial small subunit ribosomal RNA", at positions 509 to 807 of the family's 1533-position model. The record is from RNAcentral.
CAGUCGCCACGGUAAUACGAAGGGUGCAAGCGUUAAUCGGAAUUACUGGGCGUAAAGCGUGCGUAGGCGGUGAGUUAAGUCUGCUGUGAAAUCCCCGGGCUCAACCUGGGAAUGGCAGUGGAUACUGGCUCGCUAGAGUGUGUCAGAGGAUGGUGGAAUUCCCGGUGUAGCGGUGAAAUGCGUAGAGAUCGGGAGGAACAUCAGUGGCGAAGGUGGCCAUCUGGGACAACACUGACGCUGAGGCACGAAAGCGUGGGGAGCAAACAGGAUUAGAUACCCCGGUAGUCCCUGUCUCUUAUAC